RNAcentral lists this long non-coding RNA (2418 nucleotides) under Gossypium raimondii (Peruvian cotton). Its description in RNAcentral is "long non-coding RNA (GRAI_LNC006654)". Lineage: Eukaryota; Viridiplantae; Streptophyta; Magnoliopsida; Malvales; Malvaceae. The record is from RNAcentral.
CUCUUGGUUUGGCUUAACCAAGCAAUCAUUAUUAAUCUCGUCUGCCUUUUGACACCUAGAGGAUCAGUUUUUCCUUAAACCAACUCCAACCGAGACUCAAACAACUCGUCGCUUUCCUUCGAGGUCCCUCGAUUCACCACUAAUCAUCGCUAGCAGAUGGUUGCAAUAUUAUCGGAAUCCGAAAUAGCCUCCAUCACCCUAACCAAAUAGCUUUCCCCCCCUAUUUGCACUUCAACUCAUCUUCAAACUGAUGAAUCAAAAUUAUCAUCUUCCCACAGUUGAAAUCCUCAAGCUUCAAAGUAUUGCCACAAAUUCGCAAUCUCAUGGAGAGUUGUUGAUUUGCAAACAUGCAGAGGUAGUCAAUAAAAAAUCCAAGUUGCUCCCUUAGCAGUCAAGUAGUCUUUAGACCAUUCAACAAUGUUGGCAAACCAGUUCAUGGUCUUCAACAUCCUUCUCUUUUUGUCCACUCCAAAGGUGAUUAGGACAUACUUACCAAAUUUUUCUAGCAUCAAUAUCAAAGACUCCUUCAAUUCUAAAAAUUUCCCUAACAACAUUUGUCUCAUAAAAUCCCCUGCUAUUUCCACAAAGCAUUUUCUAGUUUUUGUAAGGACUCUAGCUCAACAAAAACUUGUAUGAAUCUCGCCUUUUUUAUUUUUAAAUCUUGUUACCGUUCCAUAAUCUUGGAUAUCAACCAUAGUCGGAUUAGAAACAUUUUUGUGUGAUAUGUCAGACCUCUGUAUUUCACUCCUGUGGAAUUAGCCUUUUGUUAGUCCUGUUUGUUCCUAUAUUUUAACCAGGUGUUGUUAAUAAUAUAUCCACCACUAUGCAGAUUUUUAGCUCUUUCGGUUUUACUCUUUCUUUUUAGCCACUUGUACAGCUUAUAAAAGGUUGUGUUAAGUUCUUUUUCAUGUAUCAAAAAAUAUUCAACUUCACUUUCUCUUCACUUCUAGUUUUCAUUCCAAGUUUUAUUUUUAUCUUCUUUAGCAUAUUUUAUCUUUGUUUUUAUCAAUAUGUUUUGAUAUCAAAGCUAAGUUUGUUUGAUUAAGUGGGAGAGAGUGAAAUAAAACAGAAAUUCAAUGUGAGUGGUUCAGGCAAACCUAAUGCUGAUAGUCAGUGGUACUGCAACUUCAUCCCAGCCUUUUAUUCCUUUGUUCAAAAGAGAGAACUACGAAUUUUGGAGCAACAAGAUAUAAGGACUUUGUUUAUGUCUCAAGAACUUUGGGAGCUGGUAUAAAGUGAGUAUAAUGACCCCAGAUGAUCAACAAAGACUUCGAAAGAGCAGAAAGAAAUACACACGACCUUUGUUCUUUCUUCAACAAGCAGGUACAAAUGAUAUUUUCGCUCGGAUUUUUAGAGCAACUACUUCCCUAGACAUAUGACAGAUCCUCAAAAAAGAGUUUCAAGGUUAAACAAAGAUAAUUACUGUCAAACUUCAAUCCCUUCGUAGAACCUUUAAAAUGUUUCAGAUGGGCAUGUUUAAAUCUAUUCAAACUUAUUUGUCAAGAGUGGAAUUGUUUCUCAAAAAUUUGUUUGGUAUCAUUAUAGAAGCUUUUGGUAUCCAUAUUAUUCGUCAUUAUGCUUUUCAUGACUUAUUUUGUAUGUUUUAAGAAUACCAUAUAGUAAUGGAGAGUACUAGAAAUAGAAAUUGCAUACGACUUUAUUGAAUUAUUCUUAGCAUGCAACUCUUUGAUUUUAGGAUCAUGCCUUGGUUACAAGAAAUUCUUGAUAAUAAUUGGUGUCUUUGUAUUUUUUUUUUUUUUGGCAUGAUUUCUUAGUGAUAUCUUCGUGCAAGUAGGACUAAACUGUAUGAUUGUUUUGAACCUUGCAUUAUGUUAUCUUUAUAAAUGAAUUUUAAUUAUGCUUUUUUGCCAAUUUAUCCUUCCACUUUGAUUUUCAAAAUUUCGAGAAACAAAUUAGUUAGCAAAACUUUGUUUCAAGAACUACAUGUCUAGAGACAUGGCCUAUCAAUAGUCAUAUAAUAACUAUUUUCAGUCAAGUCUCGAGACAGACAUUGCGGGAACCAUUUUUGAACUCAAAUUUAAAGCUUCCAACGGCUAAAAUCUAUCCCCAACAGCCAUAAACGUCCACAAACUCAUUCCUUGGAAUAAAUACAAGUCAGAGACACGUCAAGACAUAAGAGUUGAACGCAUCCUAGCAUAAAAGUCAAGAGAAAAGCUUCAAUUUUUUUAUUCUUUCAUUUUCACUUGUACAUAUCUCUUGGAACUUAUUGUUAGAUAUUUUAUCACUCUCAUUUUUAUUUCUACGAGAGCUUAUUUUUGUAAACACACACUUUGUAAAGGUCUCUUUGUUUACUUUCUUUCAUAUCAUCAAUUGUAAAUUUGCAAGGUUUUAAUUGAGCCAUAAAAGCUAUGGGGAAAUAUUCUAUCUAUGCCUUAAGAAAAAGAUAGUGUUGUAAAA